UUAAGUUAUUAAGGGCGCACGGUGGAUGCCUUGGCACUAGAAGCCGAUGAAGGACGUUACUAACGACGAUAUGCUUUGGGGAGCUGUAAGUAAGCUUUGAUCCAGAGAUUUCCGAAUGGGGAAACCCAGCAUGAGUUAUGUCAUGUUAUCGAUAUGUGAAUGCAUAGCAUAUCAGAAGGCACACCCGGAGAACUGAAACAUCUUAGUACCCGGAGGAAGAAAAAGAAAAUUCGAUUCCCUUAGUAGCGGCGAGCGAAACGGGAAGAGCCCAAACCAACAAGCUUGCUUGUUGGGGUUGUAGGACACUCUAUACGGAGUUACAAAGGACGACAUUAGACGAAUCAUCUGGAAAGAUGAAUCAAAGAAGGUAAUAAUCCUGUAGUCGAAAAUGUUGUCUCUCUUGAGUGGAUCCUGAGUACGACGGAGCACGUGAAAUUCCGUCGGAAUCUGGGAGGACCAUCUCCUAAGGCUAAAUACUCUCUAGUGACCGAUAGUGAACCAGUACCGUGAGGGAAAGGUGAAAAGCACCCCGGAAGGGGAGUGAAAUAGAACCUGAAACCGUGUGCUUACAAGUAGUCAGAGCCCGUUAAUGGGUGAUGGCGUGCCUUUUGUAGAAUGAACCGGCGAGUUACGAUUUGAUGCAAGGUUAAGCAGUAAAUGUGGAGCCGUAGCGAAAGCGAGUCUGAAUAGGGCGUUUAGUAUUUGGUCGUAGACCCGAAACCAGGUGAUCUACCCUUGGUCAGGUUGAAGUUCAGGUAACACUGAAUGGAGGACCGAACCGACUUACGUUGAAAAGUGAGCGGAUGAACUGAGGGUAGCGGAGAAAUUCCAAUCGAACCUGGAGAUAGCUGGUUCUCUCCGAAAUAGCUUUAGGGCUAGCCUCAAGUGAUGAUUAUUGGAGGUAGAGCACUGUUUGGACGAGGGGCCCCUCUCGGGUUACCGAAUUCAGACAAACUCCGAAUGCCAAUUAAUUUAACUUGGGAGUCAGAACAUGGGUGAUAAGGUCCGUGUUCGAAAGGGAAACAGCCCAGACCACCAGCUAAGGUCCCAAAAUAUAUGUUAAGUGGAAAAGGAUGUGGCGUUGCCCAGACAACUAGGAUGUUGGCUUAGAAGCAGCCAUCAUUUAAAGAGUGCGUAAUAGCUCACUAGUCGAGUGACACUGCGCCGAAAAUGUACCGGGGCUAAACAUAUUACCGAAGCUGUGGAUUGUCCUUUGGACAAUGGUAGGAGAGCGUUCUAAGGGCGUUGAAGCAUGAUCGUAAGGACAUGUGGAGCGCUUAGAAGUGAGAAUGCCGGUGUGAGUAGCGAAAGACGGGUGAGAAUCCCGUCCACCGAUUGACUAAGGUUUCCAGAGGAAGGCUCGUCCGCUCUGGGUUAGUCGGGUCCUAAGCUGAGGCCGACAGGCGUAGGCGAUGGAUAACAGGUUGAUAUUCCUGUACCACCUAUAAUCGUUUUAAUCGAUGGGGGGACGCAGUAGGAUAGGCGAAGCGUGCGAUUGGAUUGCACGUCUAAGCAGUAAGGCUGAGUAUUAGGCAAAUCCGGUACUCGUUAAGGCUGAGCUGUGAUGGGGAGAAGACAUUGUGUCUUCGAGUCGUUGAUUUCACACUGCCGAGAAAAGCCUCUAGAUAGAAAAUAGGUGCCCGUACCGCAAACCGACACAGGUAGUCAAGAUGAGAAUUCUAAGGUGAGCGAGCGAACUCUCGUUAAGGAACUCGGCAAAAUGACCCCGUAACUUCGGGAGAAGGGGUGCUCUUUAGGGUUAACGCCCAGAAGAGCCGCAGUGAAUAGGCCCAAGCGACUGUUUAUCAAAAACACAGGUCUCUGCUAAACCGUAAGGUGAUGUAUAGGGGCUGACGCCUGCCCGGUGCUGGAAGGUUAAGAGGAGUGGUUAGCUUCUGCGAAGCUACGAAUCGAAGCCCCAGUAAACGGCGGCCGUAACUAUAACGGUCCUAAGGUAGCGAAAUUCCUUGUCGGGUAAGUUCCGACCCGCACGAAAGGCGUAACGAUUUGGGCACUGUCUCAACGAGAGACUCGGUGAAAUCAUAGUACCUGUGAAGAUGCAGGUUACCCGCGACAGGACGGAAAGACCCCGUGGAGCUUUACUGUAGCCUGAUAUUGAAAUUCGGCACAGCUUGUACAGGAUAGGUAGGAGCCUUUGAAACGUGAGCGCUAGCUUACGUGGAGGCGCUGGUGGGAUACUACCCUAGCUGUGUUGGCUUUCUAACCCGCACCACUUAUCGUGGUGGGAGACAGUGUCAGGCGGGCAGUUUGACUGGGGCGGUCGCCUCCUAAAAGGUAACGGAGGCGCUCAAAGGUUCCCUCAGAAUGGUUGGAAAUCAUUCAUAGAGUGUAAAGGCAUAAGGGAGCUUGACUGCGAGACCUACAAGUCGAGCAGGGUCGAAAGACGGACUUAGUGAUCCGGUGGUUCCGCAUGGAAGGGCCAUCGCUCAACGGAUAAAAGCUACCCCGGGGAUAACAGGCUUAUCUCCCCCAAGAGUUCACAUCGACGGGGAGGUUUGGCACCUCGAUGUCGGCUCAUCGCAUCCUGGGGCUGUAGUCGGUCCCAAGGGUUGGGCUGUUCGCCCAUUAAAGCGGUACGCGAGCUGGGUUCAGAACGUCGUGAGACAGUUCGGUCCCUAUCCGUCGUGGGCGUAGGAAAUUUGAGAGGAGCUGUCCUUAGUACGAGAGGACCGGGAUGGACAUACCUCUGGUGUACCAGUUGUCGUGCCAACGGCAUAGCUGGGUAGCUAUGUGUGGACGGGAUAAGUGCUGAAAGCAUCUAAGCAUGAAGCCCCCCUCAAGAUGAGAUUUCCCAACUUCGGUUAUAAGAUCCCUCAAAGAUGAUGAGGUUAAUAGGUUCGAGGUGGAAGCAUGGUGACAUGUGGAGCUGACGAAUACUAAUCGAUCGAAGACUUAAUCAA
RNAcentral lists this ribosomal RNA (2921 nucleotides) under Staphylococcus aureus W46883. RNAcentral describes it as "bacterial LSU rRNA". It matches the Rfam family "Bacterial large subunit ribosomal RNA". RNAcentral also lists the same sequence under 1 other name. Lineage: Bacteria; Bacillati; Bacillota; Bacilli; Caryophanales; Staphylococcaceae. The record is from RNAcentral.